GACGAACGCUGGCGGCGUGCUUAACACAUGCAAGUCGAACGGUAAGGCUCCAGCUUGCUGGGGUACACGAGUGGCGAACGGGUGAGUAACACGUGGGUGACCUGCCCUGCACUUCGGGAUAAGCCUGGGAAACUGGGUCUAAUACCGGAUAGGACCGCACCGUGAGGGUGUGGUGGAAAGUUUUUUCGGUGUGGGAUGGGCCCGCGGCCUAUCAGCUUGUUGGUGGGGUAAUGGCCUACCAAGGCGGCGACGGGUAGCCGGCCUGAGAGGGUGGACGGCCACAUUGGGACUGAGACACGGCCCAGACUCCUACGGGAGGCAGCAGUGGGGAAUAUUGCACAAUGGGCGGAAGCCUGAUGCAGCGACGCCGCGUGGGGGAUGACGGCCUUCGGGUUGUAAACUCCUUUCACCAUCGACGAAGGGUUUCUGACGGUAGAUGGAGAAGAAGCACCGGCUAACUACGUGCCAGCAGCCGCGGUAAUACGUAGGGUGCGAGCGUUGUCCGGAAUUACUGGGCGUAAAGAGCUCGUAGGUGGUUUGUCGCGUCGUCUGUGAAAUUCCGGGGCUUAACUCCGGGCGUGCAGGCGAUACGGGCAUAACUUGAGUACUGUAGGGGAGACUGGAAUUCCUGGUGUAGCGGUGAAAUGCGCAGAUAUCAGGAGGAACACCGGUGGCGAAGGCGGGUCUCUGGGCGGUAACUGACGCUGAGGAGCGAAAGCAUGGGGAGCGAACAGGAUUAGAUACCCUGGUAGUCCAUGCCGUAAACGGUGGGCGCUAGGUGUGGGUUUCCUUCCACGGGAUCCGUGCCGUAGCUAACGCAUUAAGCGCCCCGCCUGGGGAGUACGGCCGCAAGGCUAAAACUCAAAGGAAUUGACGGGGGCCCGCACAAGCGGCGGAGCAUGUGGAUUAAUUCGAUGCAACGCGAAGAACCUUACCUGGGCUUGACAUAUACAGGAUCGCGCCAGAGAUGGUGUUUCCCUUGUGGCUUGUAUACAGGUGGUGCAUGGUUGUCGUCAGCUCGUGUCGUGAGAUGUUGGGUUAAGUCCCGCAACGAGCGCAACCCUUGUCUUAUGUUGCCAGCACGUUGUGGUGGGGACUCGUAAGAAACUGCCGGGGUUAACUCGGAGGAAGGUGGGGAUGACGUCAAAUCAUCAUGCCCCUUAUGUCCAGGGCUUCACACAUGCUACAAUGGUCGGUACAGUGGGUUGCCAGUCCGUGAGGGCGAGCUAAUCCCGCAAAGCCGGUCUCAGUUCGGAUCGGGGUCUGCAACUCGACCCCGUGAAGUCGGAGUCGCUAGUAAUCGCAGAUCAGCAACGCUGCGGUGAAUACGUUCCCGGGCC
RNAcentral lists this ribosomal RNA (1340 nucleotides) under uncultured bacterium. RNAcentral's name for it is "16S ribosomal RNA". It matches the Rfam family "Bacterial small subunit ribosomal RNA", at positions 28 to 1380 of the family's 1533-position model. The record is from RNAcentral.